GACCUGUUGCCUGCGGGAUGUCGCAGUGCCAUGCUCGGCAUCAGCGGCGGCGCUCUCCGGGGUCCCGCUCCCCUCCUCCUCCUCUUCCUCCGCCCGUGGCUCUUCUUCUGCGUUGGCGGCAGCGUGGGCUCGGUCCACCAGAGCGCGGUCCACCAUCUCCAGGUGUUUGCACCUGAGCACCUCCAGUUCAAGCACUCCAGCCAGCGUUGCUUUGAGGCGCUCCCCGAUGCGGACGCGCUCGGUGCCCGACCAGAGUGAGUUCACGCAGCCGCGGCGGUCGGCCAUCCUCGUCGGGGUGCCCGGCAGGGGGAACCGGGCGCACCGCUGACCACCACUCAGUUGCCGUGUAUGGGCUGAGAGGACCGAACUGGUUAAGGACCAGCUUCAGGUAGAGAAAAGCGGGUCCUGGCAAGCCAUACCAUUAUAGAAGCCGUUUUAAUUAUAUGAAAAUAUAAUCCCCACCAUCACUAACGUGCCAUGCAGCUUACGCUUCAGGCAGCCCUGCUGAGUGGCACAAGACUGGAAUUAAUGAGUAUACGCUGGUACACUGAAGGCAAAUCAACGGACCAUGUCUCCUCCGAACCGAGGCUUCAUUUCCAGUUGACAGCGUCCCUCUGUAUAUCACUCAUAAACUCCCUGGUCCACUGAGGUAACCAUGGUACUGCGCUCUGUACGCUGCGUCCCCAAUGAGACAAUGCAACAGACGGGAGGAGAGGCUGCUAACGUUACAUGUGGGAGCAGGCAGUGGAGAGGAGGAGCCACUGCACCAGAGCUGCAGAGGGAUUGGUCGGUGAAGUUUUUCGAAUGGACGCGUAGAAGAAAAAAUAUGAGUCCAACUUUACCAUACAGGACAAAUACAUUCCCAGUGUUCCCACAGAGGGGGUGGAGGUGCAGUGCACUUUGCUCUAGUGCCACCUUUUAACCAGCAGAGGGGGAUCUUUAACAGCUCCAGAACAUGGGCCCCUGAUCAUGCUUCACAGGCUACAACUACAAUAUUAAUGAAGGAACACGGCCCAUUUUCCAUAUCCAAGUUACAGUUUUGUCUAUGGAGAGAAGAUACAUCAACACCUUUGUAACACAGCUUCAAUAAAACCAUACUCUUUGUG
Long non-coding RNA from Notolabrus celidotus (New Zealand spotty), 1106 nucleotides. RefSeq lists it as uncharacterized. Lineage: Eukaryota; Metazoa; Chordata; Actinopteri; Labriformes; Labridae. The record is from RefSeq and is a predicted model, not a curated record. The transcript is spliced from 2 exons.